GCCCGGGAACUCGCAAAAUGACACCGUAACUUCGGGAGAAGGUGUGCCCUCUGUACGUGAAGCCCCUUGCGGGUGGAGCGGAAGAGGGUUGCAGAGAAACGGGGGUAGCGACUGUUUACCAAAAACCCAGCACUGUGCGAAGUCGGAAGACGACGUAUACGGUGUGAUGCCUGCCCGGUGCCGGAAGGUUAAGGGGAGUUGUCAGCCGCAAGGCAAAGCAGCGAACCGAAGCCCCGGUAAACGGCGGCCGUAACGAUAACGGUCCUAAGGUAGCGAAAUUCCUUGUCGGGUAAGUUCCGACCUGCACGAAUGGCAUAACGACUUCCCCACUGUCUCGAGCAGGGACUCAGCAAGUAGCACUAGGGGUGAAGAUACCCUUUACCCGCGGCAGGACGGAAAGACCCCGUGAACCUUUACUGUAACUUGGCACUGAACUUCGGGUUCGUUUGCGUAGGAUAGGUGGGACGCUAGGAAGCAUGGACUCCGGUCUGUGUGGAGCGGCCGUUGAAAUACCACCCUGACGAAUCUGGAGUUCUAACCUGCACCCGUGAGCCGGGUGGGGGACAAUGCCUGGUGGGCAGUUUGACUGGGGCGGUCGCCUCCCAAAGAGUAACGGAGGCGCGCGAAGGUUCCCUCAGGCUGAUUGGAAACCAGCCGACGAGUGUAAUGGCAUAAGGGAGCUUGACUGCGAGACUGACAAGUCGAGCAGGUGCGAAAGCAGGUCAUAGUGAUCCGGUGGUUCUGAAUGGAAGGGCCAUCGCUCAACGGAUAAAAGGUACUCCGGGGAUAACAGGCUUAUCACGCCCAAGAGUUCACAUCGACGGCGUGGUUUGGCACCUCGAUGUCGGCUCAUCGCAUCCUGGGGCUGAAGUUGGUCCCAAGGGUUUGGCUGUUCGCCAAUUAAAGCGGUACGCGAGCUGGGUUCAAAACGUCGUGAGACAGUUUGGUCCCUAUCCGCCGUGGGCGCAGGACGCUUGAGAGGAUCUGUCCUUAGUACGAGAGGACCGGGAUGGACGGACCGCUAGUGUUCCGGUUGUGGCGCCAGCUGCAAUGCCGGGUAGCUAUGUUCGGAAGGGAUAACCGCUGAAAGCAUCUAAGCGGGAAGCCCACCUCGAGAUAAGGCGUCCCUGAGACUUCGGUCUCCUGAAGACCCCAUGUAGACCACGUGGUUGAUAGGCUGGGUGUGGAAGCGCUGCAAGGCGCGGAGCUAACCAGUACUAAUCGGUCGUGAGGCUUGACCAC
RNAcentral lists this ribosomal RNA (1242 nucleotides) under metagenome. Its description in RNAcentral is "bacterial LSU rRNA". It matches the Rfam family "Bacterial large subunit ribosomal RNA", at positions 1703 to 2925 of the family's 2925-position model. The record is from RNAcentral.